This 433-nucleotide ribosomal RNA is filed under the name uncultured bacterium. RNAcentral's name for it is "partial 16S ribosomal RNA". It matches the Rfam family "Bacterial small subunit ribosomal RNA", at positions 29 to 507 of the family's 1533-position model. The record is from RNAcentral.
AACGAACGCUGGCGGCAUGCCUAACACAUGCAAGUCGAACGAGACCUUCGGGUCUAGUGGCGCACGGGUGCGUAACGCGUGGGAACCUGCCCUUAGGUUCGGAAUAAGUCCCCGAAAGGGGUGCUAAUACCGGAUAAUGUCUUCGGACCAAAGAUUUAUCGCCUUUGGAUGGGCCCGCGUUGGAUUAGCUAGUUGGUAGGGUAAAAGCCUACCAAGGCGACGAUCCAUAGCUGGUCUGAGAGGAUGAUCAGCCACACUGGGACUGAGACACGGCUCAGACUCCUACGGGAGGCAGCAGUGGGGAAUAUUGGACAAUGGGCGAAAGCCUGAUCCAGCAAUGCCGCGUGAGUGAUGAAGGCCUUAGGGUUGUAAAGCUCUUUUACCCGGGAUGAUAAUGACAGUACCGGGAGAAUAAGCUCCGGCUAACUCCGUG